Molecule: long non-coding RNA, 874 nt
Organism: Nematostella vectensis (starlet sea anemone)
Lineage: Eukaryota; Metazoa; Cnidaria; Anthozoa; Actiniaria; Edwardsiidae
Exons: 2
Source: RefSeq, a predicted model, not a curated record
UAUUGGGGCAUAAUUGAGUGCUUUGCUUAUGGAUAUUUGCAAGCAAAGGUUAAACCAACCGGACUACCUGAGGGUCAUGCUUGAUGCUAAAGGCUGGAAGACAUAAGAAUAGGCAAAUGUAGCCGGGCUUUCUUACUUUGGUACAGUAGUAUAAGUGUUAUAGGGUUUUUAGAGAAAGAUUCUUUGUGUCAAUGAUACUGUAAAUCUGUAAAACAUUUUUUAUCAACCUGAAGAUAAUGAGGAAAGGGGAAAUGAUAGGAAAGUGCUCAAUCAAGUUGUUGCAAUACUGUUAAAGUUUUUAUCAAAAAUAUAGUCCCAGUUUCUUUUUUCUCUCUCUAUUGACUAUUUUUAUAUGCAAUUGAUAAAUAUUUCCUGUUUACCCUCUGCACCCUGAAUAAAUUAAAAUAGGUUAGGUUUGAAAUUAGACAUUUUCAUUUAGCACUAAUCAGUAAUAUCAAGAAUUUGUUUUUAAUUUGCUUCCCAAGUCAAUUUGUUCUCCUCCAUUUGAUUGCAUUUAAUUUUCUAGUAGCAUUAGCAUGUGUGGAUCCAGCUGCAGGGUUUCUAUAAAAAGAAAUAAAAACAGCAGGCCACCAUGCUAAAGGGUGGGUUCACCAAUAUGUAAUGCAUGACUGAGGUAUAUUUGUGGAUUUUAAUUUCCUUGGUGAUGGAGUAUCACUAGUAAGUGGCACCUGAAGUGUAUCUAACUAUAUCAUUCUAUAUUUGGAAUGCUGUUUCAUCCAUUAUUUGUUUCUUUGCAAGGGCAAAGCCGGUCAGAAUGUACCUAGUGCUAGUGUAGUAGUGUACAUGAAUGGAACUUCUAUAAAAGGGUUUUUAUUAGGGCAAGGUACUUACUUAAUAAAUUAUAUAAAGAUAA